ACACUGAUGAAGAGUCCCAUACUAGGACGAAACGGCUGUCCAGUGC
Molecule: non-coding RNA, 46 nt
Filed under: Schistosoma mansoni
Lineage: Eukaryota; Metazoa; Platyhelminthes; Trematoda; Strigeidida; Schistosomatidae
Source: RNAcentral